Small nucleolar RNA from Lactuca sativa (garden lettuce), 108 nucleotides. The record is from RefSeq and is a predicted model, not a curated record. Lineage: Eukaryota; Viridiplantae; Streptophyta; Magnoliopsida; Asterales; Asteraceae.
AAAUCAUGUUGAGGGAAAUUCCAAAGGAAUCCUUUGUAUCUCUCCCAAUCUUUGUAUAAGGACUCGCCAUCGUUCUGGUUGGAAAUUAGCAAUCUUCUUUUUGAGUUU